Molecule: long non-coding RNA, 614 nt
Organism: Oncorhynchus tshawytscha (Chinook salmon)
Lineage: Eukaryota; Metazoa; Chordata; Actinopteri; Salmoniformes; Salmonidae
Source: Ensembl
GGCACUGAGAGCACAGUAGAAUUCACAACCCUUAUCUCUGGACCCACAAACCUUCGAGUUGUGAAGACAACCACAACAUCUGCAGUUGUCCAAUGGGAACAAUCGCAAGGACACGUCGACAGGUAUCGCUUAACUGUUGCACCCAAUCAGACGGACGGAACAGCCAAGGGAAGACAAGACCUGACACUGCCCCCUGAGAGGGACUCUGCCCAGAUUGACGGUUUGGACCCGGGACAUUUGUAUGACAUCACACUAGUGGCUGAAAAGGGCGGGAUCAAGAGCAAGCCAGCAACAGUCCAAGUCACUCCUGGAAAAUCCACAAAGACAAUAUCCAGGGUGACCAUGGACACUGUGACCAUGCAGGUAGCACCAGGAGUAGCAAGCCAUGAAGACCCAGCAGGGAAUACAAAGCCUGUGAAGGCCAUCUACUACUCAAAAGCCAAGGGUGAAGAACCAGAGAGUGGAAAGAAUUGGAGUGGACCGGGCUCUGUAACAGUCAAAGGCUCCAAUGGAACCAAAGAGGACCCAUCUGUCACAACCAGUACAAGACCACUUGUCAACACAAAAUACAGGGUUGUACAUAAACCAGGUGAUAGAAUAACCUUGCCCAGGAA